This 2263-nucleotide long non-coding RNA is filed under the name Olea europaea subsp. europaea. Lineage: Eukaryota; Viridiplantae; Streptophyta; Magnoliopsida; Lamiales; Oleaceae. The record is from RNAcentral.
CACACAGUUAGCUAAGUAUGAGACUAGCAAGGCAAUUUGUGACUUCUGCCAAUUCAGUCUUUGUAAAACAAUACUAGUUAGAAACUCGUAUUCGCGCCCUUCUACAAAAGAAUAUGAGUGCUCAAGAGUUUUAUUCGACCAUGAAAGAUCGUGGGACGGCACUCGCAGAAUCUAUAGAUUUAUGGGAUUUUGUUCCUUAUAUCUCCUGAAGAGAAGAACUAGUGAUACUUUAAGGGGCUUCGUGGGGCAAUUUUGCAUCAUAAUUCUUUCUUUUGUCGAUUCUGUGGUAAGUAAACUAUUGGCUGAGGAGAUAUGCCUCAAAUCUCACGCAGACAACUGAAGUGCUCCACCAUCUACUCAAUUUGUCUUGGCUAUGUAAUCAAUCCGUCCUCUUGUAUGCCACAGCUAAAACAAUGACAAUCACAAUUGCAAGAACAAGUAAAGAACCAAAAAGAUGAUAAUGAGAUGAUGUGAGAAGUUGUAAAUGAAAGGGAAAUUUCAAUCCAAUGAAACAGAACUGCCAACAGAACAUAUACCUAGGCGCUAUCUUGAUACAAGAUGGAUGAAGUUCAAGAAGUGGCUCAUUUCUGCAUUCAAGAACUUGCACAAUCAGUAAAGAAGAUGAUGACGAUAGUUAUAAAGCACAAAGCAUAGCCAGAAAAUAAGACCUCCGCACCAACAUGAUCUCAAAUUAGUGAACUCUAUCUUGUCCUAUCCAAUAAUGCAUGAACGAACUGGAAAAUAGUCUGUGUAAGUGCCCUUUAAUUCUAAACGUGACUUGCAAAACAAAUUUAAAACUGAAAUCACAUAAAAAUUAGUUGGCUCCAACCAAGAGACUUGGAACGCAGCUAUAAACAUGUCAACAUGCAACCUCGUAUGAAGUCUAGAUGCUAAAAAAAAUGACAAAGCCAUUCCAGUAGCUGAUUUGCCUUGAACCUUUACUUGGUCGGAAUUAUAAAGCUUACCUUAUUUAUUAUAUUAAAAUGGAAACAGGCCUUUUCAGCUUGCAACAUGCUCAUAACUAAAUUAAAGCGUAGCAGACCAUUUGACUCUUUUGUUAUUCAUCCUCGCAUUGCUUUGCUAUAAUACAUGCAUAUCCUCUUGCAAUUCACAGAUAUACAUAACAAUAACCAGCAUGGUAGAUCAUGUGCAUAGUUGUGAUAAGGACAAGUCAAAUAUAUAAAAACUUUCCAGGUGUAAGAAAGCCUACCACAUAGAUUUUAUAUAUUUGGUCCAAUUUCAUUAACCUUUCAACACAAAUGUCGUAAUAGAAAAAAAUCCAAGAACAGAGUAAACAGAAGAGAACAUCUUGAUGAAGUGUGCGACAUGACUUGCACAGACCUUUCGAAGAUGUGCAAUUGGCAUGAACUGAACUGAAACUGCGUGCACACAUCAACUAAGUAUAACUAGUGAAAGUUGAAAAUGAAAUCAAACAAUUUCUCUUAUCUCACCUGAUUAUAAUUUUUGUUUACUGAUAGAUAGUGACAAAAUUUAAAAACCAAAUGGCAGGACUAGUCUCUUUCUCACCUUUGUUUUGACCUUUUCAAUUUUUGCCAAUAUCUUGUUUCAAUCAAUUCCGACUUCAAAUUUUCCUCCACAAAUACUAUACCAGAAAAGAUUUGCUUCUGUGUCAUUAUUUUCAUUUCUUCCUCACCUAGGCAUCUAAGUUGAAUGAGUUCAUUGUACCUAUAUUAGAACUCUUUGAAAUUCUACUGUAACUUAAAAAUCUAAAACCGCAAUAUUUAGCCAUAUUCAGGAAAAAUUAAUGUACAUCAUUGGCCCAUGUAGCAGAAUUUUUCCAUGCCCAGCCCAACUCAAGAAACUCAUCAUCACAGCCUACGGAGAGGACAGAAAAGGCAAAAACAGAAUUGUUAGGAAUCCAAUCACAGAGCAUGUUUGGCUUAAGCUUAACUAACCUUACUUUAUAAGCCAUUCUUUCUGCCGGAAAACACAGUCACAUACUGGGAAAUGAUUUCAAUUAACAACUGCUGGCAUAAAAAGGGUUGUUGAUAUGUUCUUUGUGAAUCAAUGGCCAAAAGAGAGAACAGCCACCCUUCAGAAAUAUGCAAUCCCACCUUUGCCUUAUUCUUGAGUUUGAAUUUUAGCAAGCAAGACUUGGAUCCAUUUGGCAUGACUUUCGAAAAGUCAAACCGAACUUUUAAGAACAAAACUGCUUUUGGACUCUUAUGGUAAAUUUUAUAAAAGUGUUUCUAGUUGGAAAAACUUUUAGAGAAAACUAACCUAAUGUGAUUUCCUCUGAAAG